Hibiscus syriacus is the source of this 435-nucleotide long non-coding RNA. RefSeq lists it as uncharacterized. NCBI's taxonomy places the organism in Eukaryota, Viridiplantae, Streptophyta, Magnoliopsida, Malvales, Malvaceae. The record is from RefSeq and is a predicted model, not a curated record. The transcript has 3 exons.
UAUUGUACUUCUAAGUUACUGCCAAAUAUUUGCACUUUCUAUGAAAUUUUGACCUUCAGCUUUUGUUCUCAUUUGAUUUCUGCUGCUUAUACUCCCUUUCAGUUCAUAUGGCCUGGAUGAUGAAAAUUUUGAAAACGAGCAUCUUUCAUCAAAUAUAUCUGAUCCUGGACAGAUUGCUCGAGCUGUGUACGAUGUGGAGGAGGCAACUGCAACUGCCUUUGACAUCAUUCUAGAACAUAAGAUGAUUACGUCAGGAACUCGAGCUUCACUAAUAAAAUUCCUGCAGCUUUUAGUGGCUCAUCACCCUUCGAGGAGGUAAAGAUCCAACCUUUCAAGUAUGUAUCUUGACUUGGGUUUAUGUUACAAAAAUGCUAGUAACUUAAUUAGCCUGCUGAAAAGAAGGAAUUACUGCCUGAGGAAAAAAAUAACUCCUAA